CUGUAGUACAAUGGAUAGUGCGUUGGACUUCUAAUCCAAAGGUCGUAGAAUCAAAUCCCACCUAAUAGC
Non-coding RNA from Trichonephila clavata, 69 nucleotides. NCBI's taxonomy places the organism in Eukaryota, Metazoa, Arthropoda, Arachnida, Araneae, Nephilidae. The record is from the annotation of a GenBank genome assembly.